GAGUUUGAUCAUGGCUCAGGACGAACGCUGGCGGCGUGCCUAACACAUGCAAGUCAAGGGGAAAGCCGAACUUCGGUUUGGCGAGUAUACUGGCGGACGGGUGAGUAACGCGUAGGCAACCUGCCCCUAUGCCUGGGAUAACCUCGAGAAAUCGGGGCUAAUACCGGAUAAGGUUAUUGUAACGCAUGUUAUGAUAAUCAAAGGUACCGCAAGGUACUGCAUAGGGAUGGGCCUGCGUUCCAUUAGCUAGUUGGUGAGGUAACGGCUCACCAAGGCGACGACGGGUAGCUGGUCUGAGAGGAUGAUCAGCCACACUGGCACUGGAACACGGGCCAGACUCCUACGGGAGGCAGCAGUGAGGAAUUUUGCGCAAUGGGCGAAAGCCUGACGCAGCAACGCCGCGUGGGUGAAGAAGGCCUUCGGGUCGUAAAGCCCUGUCAGGUGGGAAGAAGUGGUCAUGAUCUAAGAGGUCAUGGUCUUGACGGUACCACCAGAGGAAGCACCGGCUAACUCCGUGCCAGCAGCCGCGGUAAUACGGAGGGUGCAAGCGUUGUUCGGAAUCACUGGGCGUAAAGGGCGCGUAGGCGGUUGUCUAAGUCGGAUGUGAAAGCCCACGGCUCAACCGUGGAACUGCAUUUGAAACUGGGCGACUUGAGUACGGGAGAGGGAAGUGGAAUUCCAGGUGUAGAGGUGAAAUUCGUAGAUAUCUGGAGGAACACCAGUGGCGAAGGCGGCUUCCUGGACCGAUACUGACGCUGAGGCGCGAAAGCGUGGGGAGCGAACAGGAUUAGA
RNAcentral lists this ribosomal RNA (792 nucleotides) under uncultured bacterium. RNAcentral describes it as "bacterial SSU rRNA". It matches the Rfam family "Bacterial small subunit ribosomal RNA", at positions 9 to 782 of the family's 1533-position model. The record is from RNAcentral.